RNAcentral lists this long non-coding RNA (1341 nucleotides) under Lepidothrix coronata (blue-crowned manakin). RNAcentral describes it as "lncRNA (ENSLCOG00000011459.1)". Lineage: Eukaryota; Metazoa; Chordata; Aves; Passeriformes; Pipridae. The record is from RNAcentral.
CCGGUGGGUUUGUGGCACCGCCAGCUUUGGGUGGUCACCACAGUCCAUCCCGAUGUGCCCCCAAACCCGUCUGUGCCCCCUGCAGAGGACCUGGGCAUGAGGCAUCGCCUGUGGGUGUACUCGGGCCGGAGGGGUGUCCACUGCUGGGUGUGUGACGAUGCGGUGAGGAAAUGGUCCCCAGCGCUGCGGGCGGCCACCGUGGAGUACCUGACCCUGGUGAAGGGCGGAGCAGACACGGUGAAGAAGGUGAACCUCUCCUACCCCGUGCACCCCUUCAUCAGGCGCUCGGUGGCCGUGGUGGAGAAGUACUUCGAGGAGUAUGCGCUGGUGGGGCAGGACAUCCUGGGCAGCCCCGAGAGCUGGGACAAGGUGCUGGCCCUGGUCCCGGAGGAUAUCCUUCCCGGUGCCGUGGCGGGGCCGGAGGGAGGGUCUGCGCGGGGUCGGUGGGGUCCAGGCGGAGUGCGGGAUGAGCCUUGACGGCCGGCACAGCACCGCGAGGCGCUGCAGGGCGAGUUCCCGCGCAGGAAGGACUCGGUGCAGCGCUGGGAGGUGCUGCGGGGCCGCAUGGAGCGGACACGGGGCCGCGGGGCCGCCCCGUGCUACGCGGACUGGGAGAUCAUGCUGCAGUUCUGCUUCCCCCGCCUCGACAUCAACGUCAGCAAGGGCGUGGGGCACCUGCUCAAGAGCCCCUUCAGCGUCCACCCCAAAACGGGCCGCAUUUCGGUGCCGCUGGACCUGCAGACACUGGACCAGUUUGACCCGUUCGCUGUCCCCACCAUCACCUCCCUGUGCCACGAGCUGGACACGGCUGGCAGCGAUGGGGAGCAGGAGGACGUCGGGGAGAUGGAGCCGAAGCGCCGGGCGAGGGACUACAAGAGGACAAGCCUGGCUCCCUACGUGAGGGUCUUCGAGCAGUUCGUGGAGGGCAUGGAGAGCGCCCGGCGGGGGGAGCGGCUGCGCCGGAGCGGUGGGUGCCAGGAGGGGGAGACCCCCUGGCUCUGAGAAACGGCUCUUUUUCUGGAAAAAUUCCCGUUUCUCCUCUUGGCAGACAUUCAAGGAGACUUCUGAGGCCUCGCUGCCAGGGUCCUGGAUGAAAGGACGGCGAGGGAGCGACGGCCAUUGUCACUUCUGUCCUUGUCAUUGUCACCUCGGCUGCCAGGGGGGUCCCGGUGCCUUGGAGCAGCCGAACUGCACCGCCUCCCUGUUCCUCACUCACAGCCCCUUACACUUUUUGUACUUUUUGUACCUUUUCUACACAAAAACCAUUAAAUGUUUCUGGUCACCCUUGUGCUGUGCCCGAGGUGGGCGGGGCUCUGUGUGUGGGGUCUGUGUGGGGUCUGU